UACAGAGGUCUCAAGCGUUGUUCGGAUUCAUUGGGCGUAAAGGGUGUGUAGGUGGCGCCGUAAGUCGGGUGUGAAAUUUCGGAGCUUAACUCCGAAACUGCAUUCGAUACUGCGGUGCUUGAGGACUGGAGAGGAGACUGGAAUUCAUGGUGUAGCAGUGAAAUGCGUAGAUAUCGUAAGGAAGACCAGUGGCGAAGGCGAGUCUCUGGACAGUUACUGACACUGAGGCACGAAGGCCAGGGGAGCAAACGGG
Molecule: ribosomal RNA, 253 nt
Filed under: uncultured bacterium
Lineage: Bacteria
Description: partial 16S ribosomal RNA
Rfam family: Bacterial small subunit ribosomal RNA
Source: RNAcentral